RNAcentral lists this ribosomal RNA (434 nucleotides) under uncultured bacterium. RNAcentral describes it as "bacterial SSU rRNA". It matches the Rfam family "Bacterial small subunit ribosomal RNA", at positions 8 to 441 of the family's 1533-position model. The record is from RNAcentral.
AGAGUUUGAUCCUGGCUCAGGACGAACGCUGGCGGCGUGCUUAACACAUGCAAGUCGAACGGAAAGGCCCUGCUUUUGUGGGAUGCUCGAGUGGCGAACGGGCGAGUAACACGUGAGUAACCUGCCCUUGACUUUGGGAUAACUUCAGGAAACUGGGGCUAAUACCGGAUAGGAGCUCCUGGUGGAUGGUGGGGGUUGGAAAGUUUCGGCGGGUGGGGAUGGACUCACGAUUAAUAAGCUUGCUGGGGGGGUAGAGCCUUACCUGGGCCUUGACCGGGGGCCGGCCUGAAAGGGCGACCGGCCAGAUUGGGACUGAAAAACGGGCCAAACUCGUACCAGAGGGCCGNGUGGGGAAUAAUGGCCAAUGGGCGGAAGCCCGAUGCACCAACACCCAUGGAGGAUAAACUGCUUCAGGUUGCAAAUAACUUUCGCUG